UUAGGAAUUUUGGGCAAUGGGCGCAAGCCUGACCCAGCAACGCCGCGUGGGUGACGAAGGCCUUCGGGUUGUAAAGCCCUUUUCUGAGGGAAGAUAGUGACGGUACCUCAGGAAUAAGCACCGGCUAACUACGUGCCAGCAGCCGCGGUAAUACGUAGGGUGCAAGCGUUGCCCGGAUUUAUUGGGCGUAAAGGGCGCGCAGGCGGCUCGGCACGUCCGUUGUGAAAUCGCCCGGCUCAACUGGGCGGGGUCAGCGGAUACGGCCGAGCUGGAGCAAGCUAGGGGGCAAUGGAAUUCCCGGUGUAGUGGUGGAAUGCGUAGAUAUCGGGAGGAACACCAGUGGCGAAGGCGGUUGCCUGGAGCUUUGCUGACGCUGAGGCGCGAAAGCGUGGGGAGCGAUCCGGAUUAGAUACCCGUGUAGUCC
Molecule: ribosomal RNA, 424 nt
Filed under: uncultured bacterium
Lineage: Bacteria
Description: bacterial SSU rRNA
Rfam family: Bacterial small subunit ribosomal RNA
Source: RNAcentral